UAAGGCAGCUGUAUUGUAGUCAAGAAAGCCACUGUUUAGGUGAAGUAAAAAUGUCAUUAAGACUCCUGAGCUCUUUGUAGGUUGAGACUGAAUGCUGAGCCUCAAGCUUGUCAAUGUUAGAGGAGAGCUUCCAAUUGGGGGUAGGAACCAUCCAGGAGCUUAGCAGUGAGCCUUUAGGG
This 179-nucleotide long non-coding RNA is filed under the name Meriones unguiculatus (Mongolian gerbil). Its description in RNAcentral is "Pvt1 onco conserved region 2 (ENSMUGG00000025257.1)". It matches the Rfam family "Pvt1 oncogene conserved region 2". Lineage: Eukaryota; Metazoa; Chordata; Mammalia; Rodentia; Muridae. The record is from RNAcentral.